Molecule: ribosomal RNA, 253 nt
Filed under: uncultured bacterium
Lineage: Bacteria
Description: partial 16S ribosomal RNA
Rfam family: Bacterial small subunit ribosomal RNA
Source: RNAcentral
UACGGGGGGGGCAAGCGUUGUUCGGAAUUACUGGGCGUAAAGGGUCUGUAGGUGGCCAACUAAGUCAGACGUGAAAUCCCUCAGCUUAACUGGGGAACUGCGUCUGAGACUGGAUGGCUUGAGUGCAGGAGAGGAACGCGGAAUUCCAGGUGUAGCGGUGAAAUGCGUAGAUAUCUGGAGGAACACCGGUGGCGAAGGCGGCGUUCUGGACUGCAACUGACACUGAGGAACGAAAGCCAGGGGAGCAAACGGG